RNAcentral lists this ribosomal RNA (460 nucleotides) under uncultured Bacteroidota bacterium. RNAcentral describes it as "uncultured Bacteroidetes bacterium partial 16S ribosomal RNA". Lineage: Bacteria; Pseudomonadati; Bacteroidota. The record is from RNAcentral.
GACUACCGGGGUAUCUAAUCCUGUUCGAUCCCCACGCUUUCGUGCCUCAGCGUCAAUAUCGGCCCGGCGAGCUGCCUUCGCAAUCGGCGUUCUGCGACAUAUCUAAGCAUUUCACCGCUACAUGUCGCAUUCCGCCCGCCUCGACCGAAUCCAAGGCGCCCAGUAUCAACGGCCGUUCGAAGGUUGAGCCCCCGCAUUUCACCGCUGACUUAAGCGCCCGCCUACGCACCCUUUAAACCCAGUAAAUCCGGAUAACGCUCGGAUCCUCCGUAUUACCGCGGCUGCUGGCACGGAGUUAGCCGAUCCUUAUUCCCGGGGUACCGGCAUCGGCCCACACGUGGGCCUUAUUCUUCCCCCGGAAAAGCAGUUUACAACCCGUAGGGCCGUCUUCCUGCACGCGGCAUGGCUGGUUCAGGCUUGCGCCCAUUGACCAAUAUUCCUCACUGCAGCCUCCCGUAGG